Molecule: unclassified non-coding RNA, 223 nt
Filed under: rhizosphere metagenome
Description: partial ribosomal RNA internal transcribed spacer region
Source: RNAcentral
GUAGGUGAACCUGCGGAAGGAUCAUUAAUGAAACUUCAAAGUCGGCCUGUUCUGUGCUGGUGGAAACACAUGUGCACGUCUGGUCGCAAAUCCACACACCUGUGCAUCUUUGACUCGAGGUUGUAACGACCAAGAGUACUUUUACACACUCUGAAUGUAACGGAACGUCUAUGUGCUAUAAUGUACAAAUAAACAACUUUCAACAACGGAUCUCUUGGCUCUC